GUUGGUGUGGCUCAGUGGUAGAGUGCUUUGUGUGUAUGACAUCCUGGGUUCAAAUCCCAACUGCUCCC
This 68-nucleotide transfer RNA is filed under the name Dallia pectoralis (Alaska blackfish). RNAcentral describes it as "tRNA-OTHER". The record is from RNAcentral. Lineage: Eukaryota; Metazoa; Chordata; Actinopteri; Esociformes; Umbridae.